AAUUAUAUAUAUAUAUAAAUUCGCCAUCUGGAAAUAGUAAUUGUUGAAUUAGUGGCGUGUUUACUAUUAAGAUUUUAUUUUAAAUAAGAAAAAAAUGCUGAAUAUAUAAAAAUUACCCUGAAUUCAAUGACCCAAGAAUAGUAGUGUUAAGAUUACAUUGGAUAGCUGGGCACGGUGGCUCACGCUUGUAAUCCCAGCACUUUGGGAGGCCAAGGUGGGUGGAUCACAAGGUCAAGAGAUCUAGACCAUCCUGGCCAACAUGGUGAAAGCCUGUCUCUACUAAAAAUACAAAAAUUAGCUGGGCGUGGUGGCACGUGCCUUCAGUUCCAGCUACUCAGGAAACUGAGGCAGGAGAAUUGCUUCAAACUGUGAGGUGGAGGUUGCAUUGAUGUGAGAUCGUGACACUGCACUCCAGCCUGGCAACGGAGCAAGAUUCUGUCUAAAAAAAAAAAAAAAGAUUACAUUAGAUAAACAUUUUCAGAUAUCUUUCUGUAUAUACACACAACAUACAGAGAGAGAGAGAGAGAAAUGCUUUUAGAAAACCAGGACCAUAUCUAGAAUUUAUUUUACAUAAAACAAAAACAAACUACAUGCAAAUUUUCCUUUAUAUAAUGGAAUAAAAAAUGACUUUAGGAAUUACUGAACUUGCUUUUUCACUUUAAGAUUUAAUAUUUUCCAGCCAGAUGCGGUGGCUCGUGCCUGUUAUCUCAGCACUUUGGAAGGCUGAGUCAGGUGGGUCAUUUGAGGUCACAAGUUCAAGACCAGCCUGGCCAACAUGGUAAAACCUUAUCUCUACUAAAAAUACAAAAAUUAUCUGGGUGUGCUAGUGCACACCUAGGCAGAAUUGUUUGAACCUGGGAGGUGGAAGUUGCGGUGAGCUGAGAUCACACCACUAUGCUCCAGCCUGGGCAACAGAGCAAAACUCUGUUUCCAAAAAAAAAAAAAAAAAAAAAAAAAAAAAAAAUAUACUUUUUUCAAAAACACAUCUUUAGCGCUUACAUGAUUAAUGAAUGGAACAAAUUGUUAGUUAUUUGGAUUUGACCCACUUGGUAGAGAUUUUCAAAUGGAAAAAUAAGUUCUUUUUUUCAGAGUAAAAACAUAGGAAAGGCUAGCAAAAUAUAUCCCCUUCUCCCCGUCAAUUUGACACUCAUUUUGCAACUAAAAUUGUUGACAUUAACUUAAUUUUAAUUAUGCUUUUGAUAUCUAAAAAAAUUGGAGUUAUUUGCUGUCAUUUAUUUAUUUCCUUUACAUAAGUAAUGACUGGCUUAUUUUAUUGAAAUAUUGGAUCAGGAAUAAAAGUGGUAGAAUAGCAAUAACUUUGAUCAUUAGUGGUCAGAUAUUUAUCUAAAAACUACUCAAAUAACUCAAUAACAACAACCAACGUAAUAAAUACUUAUUAGGUACAGGAACACCUUACCUAUGUCCUUAGUUAAGCCAUUUAAAAUCAUGUUUAAGGUUUAAUUUGUGCUGCUUAAAACUAAUCGGGACAUACACAUGUAACAUCUCAAGAUAGCCUAAGUUAGUAUAUAUGUUAAAAUACCUUCUAUGGAGAUUUUUUUUAAAAGCUGACUGGGAAACUCUAAGUUUUCAAUUAAGGAAAUUUGCAGUGAGAUCACUAUAUUUUGAAAUUCUGUAUCUUCCAAAGAAUAUAUUUUCAUUAUUAAUUUAAA
Molecule: long non-coding RNA, 1670 nt
Organism: Callithrix jacchus (white-tufted-ear marmoset)
Lineage: Eukaryota; Metazoa; Chordata; Mammalia; Primates; Cebidae
Source: Ensembl